This 253-nucleotide ribosomal RNA is filed under the name uncultured bacterium. RNAcentral describes it as "partial 16S ribosomal RNA". It matches the Rfam family "Bacterial small subunit ribosomal RNA", at positions 524 to 776 of the family's 1533-position model. The record is from RNAcentral.
UACGAAGGGGGCUAGCGUUGCUCGGAAUGACUGGGCGUAAAGAGUGUGUAGGCGGUGCUCUAAGUUUGGUGUGAAAUCUACAGGCUCAACUUGUAGUCUGCAUGAGAAACUGCCGGGCUUGAGUAUGGGAGAGGUGAGUGGAAUUCCUGGUGUAGCGGUGAAAUGCGUAGAUAUCAGGAGGAACACCUGUGGCGAAAGCGGCUCACUGGACCAUAACUGACGCUGAUGCACGAAAGCUAGGGGAGCAAACAGG